Molecule: ribosomal RNA, 301 nt
Filed under: uncultured bacterium
Lineage: Bacteria
Description: partial 16S ribosomal RNA
Rfam family: Bacterial small subunit ribosomal RNA
Source: RNAcentral
CAGCCGCCGCGGGAAUACGAAGGGUGCAAGCGUUACUCGGAAUUACUGGGCGUAAAGCGUGUGUAGGUGGUUGUUUAAGUCUGUCGUGAAAGCCCUGGGCUCAACCUGGGAAUUGCGAUGGAUACUGGGCGACUAGAGUGCGGUAGAGGAUAGUGGAAUUUCCGGUGUAGCAGUGAAAUGCGUAGAGAUCGGAAGGAACAUCUGUGGCGAAGGCGACUAUCUGGGCCAACACUGACACUGAGACACGAAAGCGUGGGGAGCAAACAGGAUUAGAUACCCCGGUAGUCCCUGUCUCUUAAAA